CGGUCCUUUCUGAUCGUGAAAUUUCUAGGGUAAGAUGACCUUUCAGAAUUUUGGAAGUUUUUUGCUAUAAAUUCAACAAUAGAUGUGGUUGGCUUAGCAACAGCAACAACAGGAACUACAACAGCAGAUGUGGGCUCAAAAACGUGUGCAAAAAAUGUCAGCCAACCUCCGCAAUAUCCGCCAGCCAACGUUGGUGUUAAUUGAAUAAGCCUGCUGCAGCUGGAUCUUCAUCUGUGUCUGCAGACCUUCUAAUCCGCAUUCUCUCCUGUGUUGAGCAAUGAUUACGACAUCUCAUGAUGCUAAUCUCUUGAAGUUGCACGAGGUUUCACCUUUGGCUCUCAAACCUAAUCCUUACCUGGCGCAAGAGUUAUUUAAACAGUGGCUUUUGCUUCCUGAAACCAAUUGCCUAAUUGAUGCCCAUGUUGUGGCAAGUGUGGCAACUUUCACUUUUCCUUGCUCUAACCAGGAGCAGCUAUUACCUGGUCAAGUCCUUAUGCACUUACAAUGUUAUGAUUAUGUGGUGGCUUCUAGGUUGUUUUAGCACCAUUUAAUAUCAGCAGAUUGCAGCCAUGGGGUCAGAAGGUAGUAAAGCAGGGGUCUCAAUGAAGGGUUCUAUUGUUUUCUCCUUGUCCUCCAUCGUCUUAGAAUCACAAGGAUGUCUUAGUGGUGGUUGAUCCACAAGAUUACUCUGCUUUGAUAGAUUAUCUCAAUGGAGAUCAGGAUGACCAACAGUUCCGUAGGAAGCUUGUCUGGAAGGCUUUUCAGCACGUGGCUGCUUAUGAUUCCGCAGUUUCAGAGUGGCUGUGGAAGGAGACUGAAGGAGGUAUGUCUAUGUAUGUAUUAUGAGCUAUGUAUAACACUUCCUGUAGAUGGUAGGACUGGCAACUAGCCUUGUCUUUUUCUUUGGGUCAGGAACCCAGGAGAAUGUCCUGGUGCCCUUUGUAAUCGAGUUUUCCCUUUUUUGAUGCUGAGUGAGGUUUACAUUGAGUCUGCAUGAUAACGUUUGGACUCGACCCGGCCCAGCCGAGUCGAGCUCUGCCCGCACAGCUAGGAAGAUUAUCCGCAUUUGAGCUGUUUAACAGAAUUAGGAAUCGCUAGUUUUCCGCGAAGACUUAAUUUGCAAAUCCUUAAAUUUACUUCCUAUGUCUGUAAGUUUAGGGCAAUCAAAUGCAUUUCCCAUAUUUUCAUGAGGAACAAGCUCUCUGCAAUUCCAGGGCUGGGCUUUUACAGGCCUCUUUGCGAUUGUGGGGUUAGUGCUGCUUGCUUGGUCCCCCUACUCUGCCUAGGCUGGAGGUUCAUUAGAGGCACUUAGGUAUGGACAUUCAUGUGGUAUUAUUUACACAAGAGUUUCAGUUAACAUGCUGUUUGCACACUUUUGUUUUGGAAUGUUUUUUCUGCACUACUCCCUGUUGUAGGUCACGUCUUUGAUCUACUUCAUAUUUUCUGAUAAUUCCGUUGAACCAUUCUACAGUUAAUAAGUAGCAUAGUUUUAAUAGUAAAAUUAUCUUUUGUGCUUUAAAAUUGCUUACUGUAAACUGCCUAUUAGAGAAUUUGUUAAUGCUAUCUUUUGUUAAACUUGCUAUUACUAACUGAUAAUGACUAUUGUGUUUUGCUAUGAGCUAAUUGUGAACUACUAAAGCCAAACAAGGCUUGAAUUUUUUAAUGUCUCUGUUGCAGCAUUUUUUAAUGUUUCCAUCUCAUGUCUCUUCACCUUCUUCAACCAUGACUUCCCCCUUUCGGUAAGUGUAAGUCUUCCUUUUUGUAUAGCAGUUUUUUUUUUUUUUUUUUUUUUUUUUUUUUUUUUUGUAUUGUUGUUAAUUUUUUUUUCGGGGUUUUUAAUGUUUUACUUCAAUCAUGAAGUUUGGUUACUUAUUCUUUUUUUGGUGAUUUAUGUGUAUGUGGAUGUUUUUGUAGUUUACAUUAGCUAUUAUUUCCUGUACUUAUAGCUUGUUUUGCUCAUAUAUCAUAAAACGUUGAUACUUCGUUUUUACUCUGGGUUGAUGGGUUUUUCAGAUAUUAGUUUGCUUAAUCAAGAAUUAUCUAUUGAUUAAAAAAGGAAAUAAAUUGGAAAAUUAUGAUUUUUAAAGAGAUAUCAUGCUUGGGUUUAUCUGAUUUUAUAUUUUGAUAUUAGUUUGCUUAAUCAAGAAUUAUCUAUUGAUUAAAAAAGGAAAUAAAUUGGAAAAUUAUGAUUUUUAAAGAGAUAUCAUGCUUGGGUUUAUCUGAUUUUAUAUUUUAUGUCUUUAGAUAGUUGUUGUUUCGGGUAAAAACUUGUAUUAAGUGGGAAUGAUCGAGAUUAGGGUUGAUGAAGGCCUGUCUGCUCGGAGACCUGCACAAAGCGAAGGUUAGACUACCCCGGGGGUGGAUCCGGGAUCGCCCCUCCGACGAUCAAGUCAGUAAGUGUAUUGAUUAAUGGUUGCCAAGUGUGCUGUCUAGGAUUGCGUACCUCAAUGACUGGGAAUCUGCCCGGCAUUUAUAGGCGUUGAAAAGUGCGAGGACAUUCCCUGCCAUGUAGGCACGGAAUUUAAGGCAUGUGGGCCCCACUGGGGGGGCUUCCACGCUGGAGGGGAGGAUUUAGUCCUGAUCACCGGAGGCCCAGGUUUGGGCCCAAACAUUAGCCCCACGCGAAAUACAUGGUGGGGCCCCGGUCGCCAUCGUGUGUUUCGCGAAACCCAAUGAACCCCAGGCAACUUGAGGGGCCUCAAAGACCUCGCUCGAGAUUGCGCAAGAGCCAACGAGCCCUAGGCAACUAGAGCGACUUCAGGGACCUUGCUCGGGGUUGCUUCCAGGGCCAAU
Molecule: long non-coding RNA, 2793 nt
Organism: Beta vulgaris subsp. vulgaris (sugar beet)
Lineage: Eukaryota; Viridiplantae; Streptophyta; Magnoliopsida; Caryophyllales; Amaranthaceae
Exons: 6
Source: RefSeq, a predicted model, not a curated record